UACGAAGGGGGCUAGCGUUGUUCGGAAUUACUGGGCGUAAAGCGCACGUAGGCGGAUAUUUAAGUCAGGGGUGAAAUCCCGGGGCUCAACCCCGGAACUGCCUUUGAUACUGGGCAUCUUGAGUAUGGGAGAGGUGAGUGGAACUCCGAGUGUAGAGGUGAAAUUCGUAGAUAUUCGGAAGAACACCAGUGGCGAAGGCGACUCACUGGCCCAUUACUGACGCUGAGGCGCGAAAGCGUGGGGAGCAAACAGG
RNAcentral lists this ribosomal RNA (253 nucleotides) under uncultured bacterium. RNAcentral's name for it is "partial 16S ribosomal RNA". It matches the Rfam family "Bacterial small subunit ribosomal RNA", at positions 524 to 776 of the family's 1533-position model. The record is from RNAcentral.